UACGGAGGGUGCAAGCGUUGUCCGGAUUUAUUGGGUUUAAAGGGUGCGUAGGCGGCCCGUUAAGUCAGCGGUGAAAUCCCAGGGCUCAACCCUGGAACUGCCGUUGAUACUGGCGGGCUUGAGUUCGGUCGAGGCGGGCGGAACUGGUGGUGUAGCGGUGAAAUGCAUAGAUACCACCAAGAACCCCGAUUGCGUAGGCAGCUCGCUGUGCCGAAACUGACGCUGAGGCACGAAAGCGUGGGGAGCGAACAGG
This 253-nucleotide ribosomal RNA is filed under the name uncultured bacterium. Its description in RNAcentral is "partial 16S ribosomal RNA". It matches the Rfam family "Bacterial small subunit ribosomal RNA", at positions 524 to 776 of the family's 1533-position model. The record is from RNAcentral.